UUACAAAUUUUGUUUAUACUGCAAAGAUAUUCUGGGACAAUAGUAAAAGUGGAAGAUUUCUCCAUUUAUUGGAAGGAUUCAGAAUGGCGAAACCUACAAGUAAAACUUAUUCAUAACUAAUUUUUGUUAUAUUAUUUUAGACUAUGAUUUCAAAAUAAUAAUAAGUAAAAUCCACUAACUUAUUUUUAUAGGUUCAGUGGGAUGAAGCUGCAACAAUUUCAAGACCUAAUAAGGUCUCUCCAUGGGAAAUCGAGCCUUUAAUUCGAAAAAACAAACGCCAACGCGAAAUUAACGAAAUUGGUAAGAAAAUACUUUUAAAUAAUUUAUGCUUCUUUGUGUAUCCAUUAUCAUCAUAUUUCUAUAUAUAAGUUCAAAUAUGAUAAUUCAUAUGUUGACUCAAAGCCAAUAAAUUGGAGAAUCAAGUAUAAAAUCUUCGACAAGUCUUCCUCAACUUAUUUAUCAGAAUGAAACUAAUGAUUCAAAAAUUUCAUCUGGUUGGCUAGUGAGCUAUGCAGGUCUUGCUAUGUCCAAACCAUAUUACAAUGACCAAAUGGUCCAGUCAACAAAAGAAAAUUCAACCACCAAUGCAUCUAGUAGCUUCAGAUUGUUUGGAGUUGAUCUAACGGCUUCUACCAAAGCAAGAGAUGUUUUGGAACCACUUGAAUCAUACCAAAAGAGUAAAAUUUCUGAAAUCUUUGAUGAAGAAAAGCUUGAUCAAAUUCAAGCAGUGACAUCACUAACAGAAAUCCAAACGAAGAAAAUAAGGUGUACUACAAGUAGUACCAAGGUAUGACUAAGAGCAUCUUCUACUUAUUCUUUACUUUUUAGUCAAUUCUAAAAUUAUUAAUUAUUAAUAACUAGAACAUGAUAAGACAUAGGCUUUGUAAAAUUAUUCAUGUUCUUUUUAAGAAAAGACUAGAUUUUAUAUAUGGUUGCACACAUAGUUUUAUUCUAAUACAGUAGAUUUGAUAUUGAUAAGAAACUUGAAUAACUUUUUAACCAGAUUGAGAUGACUAUAUUUAAUUCACAAACACUUGAUAUGUUUAUUGACCAGGUUCACAUGGAAGGUGUUGUUAGAACUGUUGAUUUAACUGAUUUUGAUGGAUACAAUCACAUGAUCCUUGAACUAGAAAAACUCUUUAAUAUCGAAGGCAAGUUGCAUAUGCACAGUCAAUGGAAACUAACCUUUAAAGUUCAUGAAGGAGAUAUGAUGCUUGUUGGAGACGAUUCAUGGCUGAAAUUUUGCAACACCGUGAAGGAAAUAUUCAUAUGUUCAAAAUAAGAUGCCAUAAAAUGAAAUUUGAGAACCAAUUCUCUAAAGGUGACUCAGCAUUUACAAAAAUAAUUUCACCGUCCGAUGUCGAGACAGUCAAAAAGGGGUUUUGUUACUUUUAAUGCGUUUUUAUAUAAUACUAGGGUUUGAUCUCUGUUCACCCAGAUAUUUUACUUUUAUUUAACAUUUGUGUUUAACUUGAAGAGUUUGGUUUUAUAUUAUGUGUGAUAUUUAUUAUUGUGAUUGCUCUUCUUUACUUUUAUCAACUCUUUUCAUUGAACUUAUUUGUUAUAAGGAGAUUAAGACUCAGUUUUGUUGUGUUUACUAAAUUGCCUUAUACAAUUACUGAGAUAGUUUGAAUGGGACUAUGUUCUGUUUUUAUUUUGGCGAUAGAACUUUUAAUCAUUUUCUUAUUUUAAAUCAUCUAGUUUCAUGUCUGCUCUUAUUUGUUUUUGGUAAGUUGUUUUAUAUUGCAUUCUUUCGAAUUGUGCAACUAUAUAUUUUUAUUUCCAUAUCAAUAUUGGAAUUAUGGUUGAGUUUUUUUUAAAAAAUUAUGUAUGUUACCUUACAAUUUAUUUCUAUAUAAUAACUGUAGAUCUCUUAUUUCUGUCAUGUAAACAAACUUUUAGUUUGUUUGUAGUACUAACAUAUGGUUAUUAACAUUUACCAACUAAGCUAAUGGAGAUUUUAGGUUAAAAUAGUUGAAAUAUUACAUAUUAUUUUCAAGGCUGGAAGCACAUGCUACCCCAGCUUCUAUCCAGGGCCGACACUGCUUACAUCGUGAUGAAAAUCUUGUGAACAAGAUCGAAGAUAUUUCUAAAUACAUGAACGUUUAAGUGGAAGAGUUGUGUAAGAGAGUUGACGUGCUCACCAGGCUUCACUAUGCCUCAUCAAAAUCAAUGCCAUAAGCUCUGUUCUUUUUUUUUUAAUUUAUGCUUUCUUGAGUUUAAAGUCUUUUGAUUUGUUAGCAUCAUCUUCUGAAUGGAUUUAGGUAUUGGCUUUUGUAAUAACUUGGCUAUGUUGUUUUGUUUCUUAAUCAAACCAACUCUGUUUUUAGUCCUUUACAUAGAGAAUCAUGAAGAUAUAAAACAUAAUUGUGAAUA
Long non-coding RNA from Brassica napus (rape), 2376 nucleotides. RefSeq lists it as uncharacterized. The transcript has 3 exons. NCBI's taxonomy places the organism in Eukaryota, Viridiplantae, Streptophyta, Magnoliopsida, Brassicales, Brassicaceae. The record is from RefSeq and is a predicted model, not a curated record.